AGCUGUGGGUGCAGUCUGGAUAGAACAUCUGUUACCCCAUUGAUUACCAAAGUUGAAUCAACUGAUCUGUCUGGCUUGGCAAGUGUCCCCGUGCUUCCCCACACCAUCAUGAGUCUCCCUCUCGAAGCUAAACUCUUGAUAAAGCAACCUGCCUGGAUAGAGGAGGACCAUCUUUCGGUCAAGAUUAUAUGAAUAGCUGCUCUCCCCAACUAGAACCCCCCAGACAAGCUCUAGGUAGCCCAUUUUCACUCCACACUCCAUGCCCUUGUGUUGGCAUGGGCAGGAAAGUCCUGAAAACCCCAUUCCUUGCCUCCUAGGUUUUCAAUGCCCCAAAGCCAAAGUGGACUCAGCUGUCUGGGAGGAAGCUUCAGAA
Molecule: small nuclear RNA, 373 nt
Filed under: Mus caroli (Ryukyu mouse)
Lineage: Eukaryota; Metazoa; Chordata; Mammalia; Rodentia; Muridae
Description: sRNA (MGP_CAROLIEiJ_G0008843.1)
Rfam family: 7SK RNA
About the family: 7SK was discovered as an abundant small nuclear RNA in the mid-70s but a possible function has only recently been suggested. Two independent studies have found that 7SK RNA binds the CDK9/cyclin T complex (known as elongation factor P-TEFb).
Source: RNAcentral